Molecule: ribosomal RNA, 255 nt
Filed under: uncultured bacterium
Lineage: Bacteria
Description: partial 16S ribosomal RNA
Rfam family: Bacterial small subunit ribosomal RNA
Source: RNAcentral
UACGUAGGGUGCGAGCGUUAAUCGGAAUUACUGGGCGUAAAGCGUGCGCAGGCGGUGAUGUAAGACAGGUGUGAAAUCCCCGGGCUUAACCUGGGAACUGCAUUUGUGACUGCAUCGCUGGAGUGCGGCAGAGGGGGAUGGAAUUCCGCGUGUAGCAGUGAAAUGCGUAGAUAUGCGGAGGAACACCGAUGGCGGAAGGCAAUCCCCUGGGCCUGCACUGGACGCUCAUGCACGAAAGCGUGGGGAGCAAACAGG